ACGAUAAGGUGUUCCUUCCGAUUCACGUGUCCUGGUAUUAGUUAACUCGCUAGUCUUUCCGCAAAUUGUAAUAAAAACCCGGUCAGAGUUGACGACGAAGAGUUCCGAGAGGUUGUAUUAGGGUUUGGGUACGCGCCAUCGGUGCCACUUUAGUUCUCCAGUGGAGGAGGAUCUUCUUUUAAUAGCAGGAGCCACCAGACGGGCUUGACGUCCUGUUGAGCUCGCCACCGGGGCUUCAUCUAAUGAAGACCGAGCGGAAGUCUAGGUGCAUUGAUUAGAUCAGUGUUUGUCACCGACGCACUGCUCCUCCGGUGAGGUCUCCGGCCAGAGGCACGCGUCAGGACGGAGCCAAGAAGAAACUGCCGGUCGGCGAGGGGGAGGGAGGGAGGGAGGGUGGGGGGCGCCACCAUGUGGCGGCGUCUCCGUGGCUUUCCCGUCUUCGACAACAACUCCAUUACUAACCUGUUCGGCCACACGUGAUCAGCCUCCCCGCCGACGAUCGCCGGCCGUCCACCUGGUGGGUUUCGAGUCGGUGAGCCAGGUUCUUGUUUUUCUUAGCCAAUGCGAUAUAAAACUGUCGAUAAACGGACCCAUCUGGGCGUCAGUCGAAGGUUCGAGAUUGCCUGUGAGCUGUAGUAAUCAGAAGAGGUGCGGAGAAGGGGUCCGUGAGAGCGCCGGGUCGUCUCCUUCACGGGCAAUUCACCGAGCUGGCUCUCUCGGCCAUUCAUUGUGAAUUCGGAGUCACCCCACUUGGGGCUUUUAAUACUCGCCCUGCUCUCUAAUCCACCUCCGACGGCGUGAAACCUCGGUCUCUGUCAACAGACACAAGAAUAUGGUUCAAGAAUGCGUGCCAAAAUAUAAUCCGCACGUCUCUCCGGAGUCUCACGGCGGGCGGGCGGCUCAGAUUCCUCCCGAUCAUCCAUCCUCUGAGAGACGCGGGAUCUUGACGCUAGCUCUUCGCUGGAAGUCAGCGAUGAAUCAAGGCAGGCACGAGAAAGAUUCCCCCUUCCCCGCUGCAUGCCACAACAUACAGAGAGAGGAGAGAGAGAGAGGUAGGGGAGACAUGAACGACGACUGGUCCUGGAUAUAUUGUAAAGGGCCGUGAUCGUCGUGCCCAUGCACACGUGAAGAGUGGUAUGAUCGGGAGAUGAGCUACGUAAGAGCAGCGUAAGAGAGUUGCAUGUAGCCGAUCCACCCGUACGUGCUGCUUCAUAAUCUAUCCUCACCCAUGGAUCAAGCACAGCUAAGAGGCUGUGAGCUCCACUGGCAACGGAGUAAACACAGCACGGUGUUCAAGUCCCCAGGAACCGCAAGAGGGGUUGCUGGUCGGUGAUCGCCGAUGAUGCCGGUCUAGGGUUCCUUGGCUAUGGAAGAGAUCAUGUGCGGCAAUCGGCUUCGUUUGGGAAGGGCUGUCCUUUUUUAGAAUGGAGAUUACGUGAGGAGGGUGAGACGGGCCGGGAGGAAUCUCCUGUUGUCCUCUCGCCCUUGCCGUCCCGUCAUCCCCCCUUGCAUCGCCGUCUCCCUCCUUCCAAAUGGAACCCCCUUCCCUUCUCUCAGUCACUCACUAGCCUUUCCUCUGCGCUCCCAUCUCUUUCGUCUUAUCUCUCUUUCUCCCACGCGCGUAUCUAUCUACAUAUCCAUAUCGAUCCUAGGAGAUCCUCUUCGACGGCUCAUCUUCGAUUUCGUUUCUGAUUCAGAGGAGCCAUCGCGCUCAGCUUAAGCGCAACAAGAGGACGACAGCAGUCGAUUGGGGCGGAUGAAGUAAAACGUAGACGACGUAACCGACGGUUGUUUUACGAUGCUGCCGGUGGCAUCCUCCAUUUGCUCCAGAGGAAAAUAACUCUAUUUCUGGGAGGAGGAAGAGGAGGAGAGAGAAAUAUCUGUGGAAGACAGGAGCAUGCCCCUGGUCCAAGCGAGGCACCCAUGAAGAGGGCUGGUGCUAUCUGGCCCAGGGCAGGAUUUGGUGAGUAGGCCCACAAGGAUACGGCAGCGCCUCACUCCCCUCUCCCCCCGUUGAGAUGAUGUCCCGCUUUCCCCACCACCCACCCUCCGCCAACCCACCGCCACAUCGCCAGAUCGCGGCCCCCCUCCAGUGGACCCGGUAACGCUCCGACGGAC
Molecule: long non-coding RNA, 2118 nt
Filed under: Spirodela polyrhiza (greater duckweed)
Lineage: Eukaryota; Viridiplantae; Streptophyta; Magnoliopsida; Alismatales; Araceae
Description: long non-coding RNA (SPOL_LNC001521)
Source: RNAcentral